RNAcentral lists this ribosomal RNA (500 nucleotides) under uncultured bacterium. RNAcentral describes it as "bacterial SSU rRNA". It matches the Rfam family "Bacterial small subunit ribosomal RNA", at positions 24 to 518 of the family's 1533-position model. The record is from RNAcentral.
UCAGGAUGAACGCUAGCUACAGGCUUAACACAUGCAAGUCGAGGGCAGCAUGGAGUUGCUGCAAUCUUGAUGGCGACCGGCGCACGGGUGAGUAACGCGUAUCCAACCUUCCCUUAGUAGGGCAUAGCCCGGUGAAAAUCGGAUUAAUACCCUAUGUUCUUCACAGCAGACAUCUAACGUGAAGCAAAGGUUCACCGCUAAGGGAUGGGGAUGCGUCUGAUUAGGUAGUAGGCGGGGUAACGGCCCACCUAGCCUUCGAUCAGUAGGGGUUCUGAGAGGAAGGUCCCCCACAUUGGAACUGAGACACGGUCCAAACUCCUACGGGAGGCAGCAGUGAGGAAUAUUGGUCAAUGGGCGAGAGCCUGAACCAGCCAAGUAGCGUGCAGGAUGACGGCCCUAUGGGUUGUAAACUGCUUUUAUAUGGGGAUAAAGUUCACCACGUGUGGUGUUUUGUAGGUACCAUAUGAAUAAGGACCGGCUAAUUCCGUGCCAGCAGCUGC